AGAGUUGAACAGGCAAUCGCUGGUAAUAAUGAGAUUAUCAGAGGAAAGUCCGGGCUCCAUCGGAUAGAGUGCCAGGUAACACCUGGAGGGUGCGAACCCAUGGAAAGUGCAACAGAAAAUAUACCGCCAAAUUACUUAUGUAAUGGCAAGGUUGAAAUGGUGCGGUAAGAGCGCACCGCAUAAAUGGCAACAUUUAUGGCUUGGUAAACCCCGCUGGGAGCAAGACCAAAUAGAGAAGUAUUUGAUUAAUUUCAUAUCGUCUUUUCCGAACGAACUUCUGGGUAGGUUGCAAGAGGUAAUUGGUGACAAUUAUCCUAGAUGAAUGAUUGCUUAAACAGAACCCGGCUUAUGUUCAACUCUUACU
This 364-nucleotide RNase P RNA is filed under the name Gammaproteobacteria bacterium. RNAcentral's name for it is "RNase P RNA component class A". It matches the Rfam family "Bacterial RNase P class A". From Rfam's summary of the family: Ribonuclease P (RNase P) is a ubiquitous endoribonuclease, found in archaea, bacteria and eukarya as well as chloroplasts and mitochondria. Its best characterised activity is the generation of mature 5'-ends of tRNAs by cleaving the 5'-leader elements of precursor-tRNAs. RNAcentral also lists the same sequence under 1 other name. Lineage: Bacteria; Pseudomonadati; Pseudomonadota; Gammaproteobacteria. The record is from RNAcentral.